CAGCCCCUCGAGUGGUGGGGAUGAUUAUUUGGCCUAAAGCGUCCGUAGCCGGCCGAGUAAGUCCCCCGUUAAAUCCAGCGUCUCAAGCGUUGGACUGCGGGAGAUACUACUUGGCUAGAGAGUGGGAGAGGUCAGCGGUAUUCUGGGGGUAGGGGCGAAAUCCUUUGAUCCCCGGAGGACCACCAGUGGCGAAGGCUGCUGACUAGAACACGACUGACGGUCAGGGACGAAAGCUGGGGUAGCGAACCGGAUUAGAUACCCGAGUAGUCC
RNAcentral lists this ribosomal RNA (270 nucleotides) under uncultured archaeon. RNAcentral's name for it is "partial 16S ribosomal RNA". It matches the Rfam family "Archaeal small subunit ribosomal RNA", at positions 477 to 747 of the family's 1478-position model. The record is from RNAcentral.